UCCUUAGAUGUCCUGGGCCGCACGCGCGCUACACUGAGUGUCUGAGAUACGAGUCUGCCUGGUCCGGCAAGGUCUAGGUAAUCGCUAAAAGACACAUCAUGCUUGGGAUAGAUUAUUGCAAAUAUUAAUCUUGAACGAGGAAUUCCUAGUAAGCGCAAGUCAACAGCUUGCGUUGAUUACGUCCCUGCCCUUUGUACACACCGCCCGUCGCUACUACUGAUUGGAUGUUUAAGCGAGGUUCUCGAACUGCUAGCGACUUAGCUUCGGUGAGGUCGCAGUGUGGGAAGUGAACCUAGCUUUGGUGUCUAGAGGAAGUAAAAGUCGUAACA
Molecule: ribosomal RNA, 329 nt
Filed under: uncultured eukaryote
Lineage: Eukaryota
Description: partial 18S ribosomal RNA
Rfam family: Eukaryotic small subunit ribosomal RNA
Source: RNAcentral